AUUGAACGCUGGCGGCAUGCCUUACACAUGCAAGUCGAACGGCAGCACGGGGGGCAACCCCUGGUGGCGAGUGGCGAACGGGUGAGUAAUAUAUCGGAACGUACCCUGUAGCGGGGGAUAACCUCUCGAAAGAGAGGCUAAUACCGCAUACGACCUACGGGUGAAAGCGGAGGACCGCAAGGCUUCGCACUAUAGGAGCGGCCGAUACCGGAUUAGCUAGUUGGCGGGGUAACAGCCCACCAAGGCUACGAUCCGUAGCUGGUCUGAGAGGACGAUCAGCCACACUGGAACUGACACACGGUCCAGACUCCUACGGGAGGCAGCAGUGGGGAAUUUUGGACAAUGGGCGCAAGCCUGAUCCAGCCAUGCCGCGUGAGUGAAGAAGGCCUUCGGGUUGUAAAGCUCUUUCGGCGGGGACGAAACGGUUCGUGCUAACACCACGGACUAAUGACGGUACCCGAAGAAGAAGCACCGGCUAACUACGUGC
This 487-nucleotide ribosomal RNA is filed under the name uncultured bacterium. RNAcentral describes it as "bacterial SSU rRNA". It matches the Rfam family "Bacterial small subunit ribosomal RNA", at positions 29 to 508 of the family's 1533-position model. The record is from RNAcentral.